Long non-coding RNA from Podarcis raffonei (Aeolian wall lizard), 1298 nucleotides. RefSeq lists it as uncharacterized. The record is from RefSeq and is a predicted model, not a curated record. The transcript has 2 exons. Lineage: Eukaryota; Metazoa; Chordata; Lepidosauria; Squamata; Lacertidae.
GUGACUGCCUCCAUUCAGUCGCUGCAAAGAACUACAUAGCGCUGCCAGCUGGAAGGAACGUCACAUUAGGUUAUGAUGUGUCAGAGCCUACGAGGAAAGAGCGCCAGGCAAAACAAUGAACAAGUGAGCCAGGAGGCUGGGCCCCUGUGAAAUUCUAGACUUCUACAGGCCUCCAGGACGUGACAUGUUACUAGGAGGGCAGAAAUUCACUCCGAGGAAUGGCUAAAAACAUGGACUAUCCCAACCCAUUUCUCGAGGCAAUUCCAUUCGGUGACGAUUCCUUGGGCCCUAACCCGUGGAGGAAGGAGCAGAGGAACGGCGCCUGGAUUUUCUGGAGAACCGUCUCUGCCUAUGAUGUCAACGUUCUCUUUGAAGCCGAUGUACUCCGAGGACAUCUUAGAAAUGUGCUUAGAAGUGAAUUGCUGGAAUUCAUGAUGGUCAAUAGGGGAAAAAUAAGUAGGGGAAAUAGGGUGGUGGAUGCUUCGCCUAUUGUCUCCCAUAGCUUUGCGUAUGAACACACACACUGACCUGCCAUUUUCCACACACAACCCUGUGUGCAGUCAGUCCGUUGCGAGGGGGGAUUUACAAACUUUCAGAGUCUUCUGCUACACCUUGGAGAGAAUCCAAAAAUCCUGGGACAAUUAUAUUCAUUCAGUUCUGCCGUGAAGGAACCAUGACUAUUAAUUUUCUCCAAAAUGGAGCGGAGAAGUUUGCAAAGCUUUAGCUUUGUACUGAACAUGUUUGAACAAAAACAGAAGACGAGUCUUUGAAAAACCAAAGAAAACACAUAUUUAUACACACACAAAGCAAGGAAGGGGGGGAGGUAGAAGAAAGAACGUACAGUACUUGUAUAACGUGAGACGGAGAGUUACAAUUUCUUGGCUAAAUUUGCAUUCCGGGGGGAAUUAUAUGCAGUUAAUGCUAAAAUAUCCCCGUACGGGGCAUUUUGUUUUCCCUUGAUGGCUCAAAAUCUAUGUUCCUUGCCCAGCAUGUUGAUGGAAUGAGAGAAUUCCCUUCCAGCCCUAUAUUUAUUAUAGGGCCUUUCGUGGCGAGUGACGGGCAGACCCAACAGAUUUCCUUGUUGAUGGAAGGGCUAGAAAUGCUAAUAUAAAGAUUACUGUGGGAAUCUGCCAUGGGGAUUCUGCAGCGGUGUGGGGAGCAACUGGUCCGAAAAGCCAAAAUUACAGACUAUUUAUGGACAAAGAAAAUUCAGUGGUGGAACCACCAAUAGGCUGAAAUGCGAGGAAGAAUAAAGAGAUGCCACAAAAGCCACCAGUGGCAGGAAGAUGGAAAGGAUA